GAUGAACGCUGGCGGCGUGCCUAAUACAUGCAAGUCGAGCGAACAGACGAGGAGCUUGCUCCUCUGACGUUAGCGGCGGACGGGUGAGUAACACGUGGAUAACCUACCUAUAAGACUGGGAUAACUUCGGGAAGCCGGAGCUAAUACCGGAUAAUAUAUUGAACCGCAUGGUUCAAUAGUGAAAGUCGGUUUUGCUGUCACUUAUAGAUGGAUCCGCGCCGCAUUAGCUAGUUGGUAAGGUAACGGCUUACCAAGGCAACGAUGCGUAGCCGCCCUGAGAGGGUGAACGGCCACACUGUAACUGAGACACGGUCCAGACUCCUACGGGUAGCAGCAGUAGGGAAACUUCCGCAAUAGGCGGAAGCCUGACGGAGCAACGCCGCGUAAGUGAUGAAGGUCUUCGGAUCGUAAAACUCUGUUAUUAGGGAAGAACAAAUGUGUAAGUAACUAUGCACGUCUUGACGGUACCUAAUCAGAAAGCCACGGCUAACUACGUG
Molecule: ribosomal RNA, 497 nt
Filed under: uncultured bacterium
Lineage: Bacteria
Description: partial 16S ribosomal RNA
Rfam family: Bacterial small subunit ribosomal RNA
Source: RNAcentral